Molecule: unclassified non-coding RNA, 241 nt
Filed under: plant metagenome
Description: partial contains small subunit ribosomal RNA, internal transcribed spacer 1, and 5.8S ribosomal RNA
Source: RNAcentral
UUUCCGUAGGUGAACCUGCGGAAGGAUCAUUAUUGAAUGAAACACUUCUGGCUUUAUGCUGUUGUGCUGGCCCUUUGGGCAAUGUGCACACGGCUCUGGUCACUUGUUUCUUCUGUUCCACUUGUGCACUGCCUGUAGACACGCUGUGUCUAUGAUAUUUGUUAACACACAACAAUGUUAGUUGGCAUGUUAUAUAUAAUAAUAAAAUAUACAACUUUCAACAACGGAUCUCUUGGCUCUC